AUAUUGAACUCAGUUGGAAGAGGAGAGUCCAGUCUUAAAAUGGAGGGCCCUAAUCCAAAGAAAGCACAGCAGCUGAGGAAACUGUCCAUUGCUGGUCUGAGCUUUGAAACCACAGAUGGUAGCUUAAGAGAACAUUCUGAGAAAUGGGGCACACUUACAGACUGUGUGGUUUCGUGACCUACUCUUGUGUUGAAGAGGUGGAUGCUGCACUGUGUGCUCGGCCACACACGCUUGAUGGGCGUGUGGUGGAACCAACGAGAGCUGUUUCUAGAGAGGAUUCUGUAAAGCCUGGGGCCCAUUUAACGGUGAAGAAAAUUUUUGUUGGUGGUAUUAAAGAGGAUACGGAAGAAUAUAACCUGAGAGACUACUUUGAAAAGUGUGGCAAGAUUGAAACCAUAGACAUUAUGAAAGACAAGCAGAGUGGGAAAAAGAAGAUUUGCUUUUGUAACUUUUGAUAAAAUUGUUCAGAAAUGCCACACUAUUAAUGCACACAACUGUGAAGUGAAAAAGGCCCUUUCUAAACAAGAGCUGCAGUCUGCUGGGUCACAGAGAGGUCGUGGAGGUGGAGCUGGCAGCUUUAUGGGUCCUGGAGGAACUUUUGGUUGUGGAGGAAACUUUGGUGGAAGAGGUGGCUAUGGUGGUGGAGGUAGUGGCAGCGGAGGUAGUUAUGAAGGUGGUGAUGGUGGAUAUAAUGCACUAGGAGGCAACGGUGGCAACUAGUGAUGGUCCUGGUUACAGUAGUAGAGGUUAUGGGGGUUGUGAACUGGGAUAUGGAAACUAGGGUGGUGGAUAUGGUGGUAGAGGAGGAGGAUAUGACGGUUACAAUGAAGGAGGAAAUUUUGGUGGAGGUGACUAUGCUGGAGGUGGAAACUAUAAUGACUUCAGAAAUUACAGUGGACAGCAACCAUCAAAUUAUAGACCCAUGAAGGGAGGCAGUGUGGAUGGAAGAAGCUCGAGCAGUCCCUAUGGUGGUGGUUAUGGAUCUGGUGGUGGAAGUGGAAGCUAUGGUAGCAGAAGGUUUUAAAGUAAAAUAGAAACAGACUACACUUCUUAGUGAGAGAGAAAGACAGAGAGAGAGACAGAGACAGAGACAGAGCAAAGACUUGUCAGGAAAGCUGGAGGUUAUGUUGAGACAGUUGUCCCAAAUGCAUUAGAGGAACUGUAAAAAUCUGAAGGAAUGAUAAUCCAUAGUCAGAAAAGUCACUGCAGCUUAAACAGAAAACCCUUCCUGUUCAAGACCAACAUAGAUUCAGUUUACAAAAACAUGCAGCUAUUGAUUAAUGCAACUUAGUGUCAAUUAGAUAUAUGUUCCUGAGGUCUUUUCUUUUAUCUGUUGUAGCUUUCUUUAUCUUUUUCUUUUCAUUAUAUCAGGUAUACUGCCCUAUAAAUUGUGGUAGUAGUACCAGGAAUAGAAAAUUAAGAAUUUUUAAACUUUGAUAAAUAAAAUAGAGAGACAGACACAAAAAGAUGGUACUAUACCAAGAUAUAAGACCAACUGCCUACCAGGCAUACACAAAGCUCAUGGUUGAAUUAUCUGUUCUGCAAAAACAGGAGGAAAAUGAAAAAAAAAAAUGACAAAGUUAACUCUGGGGUUGAGAAAACACUUUUUUUUUUUGAAAGGGAAAUAGCAACACGUUCCAUUAAAGUGGGGGGAGAGGUUUGGUGGGCAUUAAAUUAUUGUAAAGGGCAGAAUUUCAAAAUAUCCCCUGUAAGCCAGUUUCUUAUAUUCUGGUCAUUUAAAUACUUUGAUUGGCUGAAGUAAACAUAUUGGGUAGUUGAGCCUGAAAUAGGACUAGACAUAAUUACAUGAACCUGUAACAACAAAAGGCUGGUAGAUGAGGAGUUCAUGGGAAAUGUGGCCAAAGAGAGAAUGAGGAAGUGCUGCCCAGUUUUAUAUCUUCAUCUGUAUAGUUUUAUAUACUCAACACAGCUAGAGUCAUCUGAAACAAGGAAGCUUUAAGGGAGAAAAAAUGCCUCCAUAAGUUAAUGAUGGAUCUUAGACACUUUAAUCUCUCUUUUAGCCCAUCACCCACCCACCGGAGGUAGUAGAAAAGAAAGGAUAUGGGGGAAGUAGACCUGUUUUAAAAGGUUUUUUGGAGCAAGUCCCAUCUGUGUUGUCUGGAAACAGUUCAGCUCACUGAAUCCACUUGCAAACACUUCACAGAUACACCAGCAGUCCAGUUAGGUAGAGUCAGAAUAGCAAACAGGAAUCAGCAGCAGUUCCACCACUACCUAGCAGAGACAGCCAGGCCUCAGUCUUAGCACAAGUCAACAGCAGGGACCAAGAGGAGCACCAGGACAAGUUCUUGGCUGUAGCUCUCUCAGGGAAGCAAGGAUCAGCGAAGACAUGAGACCAGUAAGUGUUGUAUAGCUAGCUCUAUAAGAAAAGCCAAGCUCAGCGCCCCCCCCCUUUUUUUUUACUGUCCACAAAGUCUUUUUUAUACUGCCUCCAAAUAUCACAAGUCCUCUACAGGUGUUAUCUGUCUCAGCUGAUAUAAUACUAUCAAUCAAUACAGCACACUACCACAAGUUUUUGGGUGUUUUUUUCUCUAUGGAGUCCUGAAAAAUGGAGCCCAAAUACACAAUGUAAGGUGGACCAAUACAUGCUUGUAUUGUAUUGUUUUGUAUUGUAUGCUUCAGCAAAGAAUCUCUCAUCAUGUGUCCUUUCAUGUGCUUGCUUUAGCAGAACAUCCUCUCUCCUGUGUCCACUUCAAUGAAAUGUUCAUUCACAAGUCUGCCUAAAUCUUCCACCUGUGUCCACUUCAGGAAAACAUUCCUUCAUGAGUUUACCCCAGCAAAACACCAUCCAACACAACUGACUUUCCAAAGAACAUUUCACAUUUCCACUUCAUCCGAAAGAAGGUGCCAUCUCUGGGCUGGUGGUCCUAUGUUCUAAAAGAAAGCAGACUGAGAAAGGCACGUGGAGCAAGCCACCAUGCAGCAGCCCACCAUGGCCUCUGCAUCAGCUCCUGCCCUGUUUGAAUUCCUGUCCUGACUGGCCUCCUUUGAUGGUGGACUACAAUGUGGAAGUGUAAACCAUUUCCUCUCCAACUUCUUGUUGGUCAUGGUGUUUCAUCACAGCAGUAGUGACUAAUCCUAGCUAAAACAGGUUCUUCAGAAAGGAAAGGUCAGAUAAGUCUGAGAACUCAAUUUACUUUUCCUUGCUAUAAAACAAAGAAAGAUCCAAAACCAUUAAAAAGCCUCUGUGAGCCCCACUGGGGCUCGAGGUGAAAGCCAGUAAAUACAAAUGUACUUCAGUAACUGCAAUAACUGCAAACCGGAGCCAGGGUAAGCCUGGAUGUGGCAUUCUUUCUAGAGUCACCUGAUAUACUCACUACUAAAUAUACUAGACUUCAGCCAUGUGAAAGUCUAAAUACAAAACAGCAAAAGCUACCAAUUAAACUUAUUUCAUAUGAAUAAAGUAGAGAAGAAAAGAGACAAAAGUUAAUGUAUGUUCAUUAAGCUGUUAAAUGUGUACUAAAUCUGUAAUGACAACAGUUCCAUAAAGAAGCUAGGGGUAGAAUCAGAACUGGGAGGAGGAGCUCAGGAAAAAGAACAAGCAUUCAAACUACAGAGACAUAGAAUAAAGUCAAAGACAACUCUGUGAAAUGACUCAUAGCAAAACCAAACAUUUUAAGAAUUAGGGUAGCGGGCGUAGUGGCGCACGCCUUUAAUCCCAGCACUUGGGAGGCAGAGGCA
RNA transcript from Mus musculus (house mouse), 3699 nucleotides. It is a transcript of the gene named predicted gene 13351, with no coding region annotated. The transcript has a single exon. NCBI's taxonomy places the organism in Eukaryota, Metazoa, Chordata, Mammalia, Rodentia, Muridae. The record is from RefSeq and is marked validated.